UGUGUGUUAGUGGAAGCGUCUGGAAAGGCGCGCGAUACAGGGUGACAGCCCCGUACACAAAAGCGCAUGUGCUGUGAGCUCGAUGAGUAGGGCGGGACACGUGGUAUCCUGUCUGAAUAUGGGGGGACCAUCCUCCAAGGCUAAAUACUCCUGACUGACCGAUAGUGAACCAGUACCGUGAGGGAAAGGCGAAAAGAACCCCGGCGAGGGGAGUGAAAAAGAACCUGAAACCGUGUACGUACAAGCAGUGGGAGCCCCACCACCAAAGCAUUCUCUGGUGUUGAAGGCCCUGCAAAGCAGCAUCGCGGUGGCGGAGCGUCGUUUGCGACGCCCAACACACAAAACAAGCGGUGAGUGCUUUGGGGUGGGGUGACUGCGUACCUUUUGUAUAAUGGGUCAGCGACUUAUAUUCUGUAGCAAGGUUAACCGAAUAGGGGAGCCGGAGGGAAACCGAGUCUUAAUUGGGCGUUAAGUUGCAGGGUAUAGACCCGAAACCCGGUGAUCUAGCCAUGGGCAGGUUGAAGGUUGGGUAACACUAACUGGAGGACCGAACCGACUAAUGUUGAAAAAUUAGCGGAUGACCUGUGGCUGGGGGUGAAAGGCCAAUCAAACCGGGAGAUAGCUGGUUCUCCCCGAAAGCUAUUUAGGUAGCGCCUCGUGAAUUCAUCUCCGGGGGUAGAGCACUGUUUCGGCUAGGGGGCCAUCCCGGCUUACCAACCCGAUGCAAACUGCGAAUACCGGAGAAUGUUAUCACGGGAGACACACGGCGGGUGCUAACGUCCGUCGUGAAGAGGGAAACAACCCAGACCGCCAGCUAAGGUCCCAAAGUCAUGGUUAAGUGGGAAACGAUGUGGGAAGGCCCAGACAGCCAGGAUGUUGGCUUAGAAGCAGCCAUCAUUUAAAGAAAGCGUAAUAGCUCACUGGUCGAGUCGGCCUGCGCGGAAGAUGUAACGGGGCUAAACCAU
Molecule: ribosomal RNA, 965 nt
Filed under: Salmonella enterica
Lineage: Bacteria; Pseudomonadati; Pseudomonadota; Gammaproteobacteria; Enterobacterales; Enterobacteriaceae
Description: partial 23S ribosomal RNA
Rfam family: Bacterial large subunit ribosomal RNA
Source: RNAcentral